GAUGAAGAACGUAGCGAAAUGCGAUACGUAAUGUGAAUUGCAGAAUUCAGUGAAUCAUCGAGUCUUUGAACGCACAUUGCGCCCCCUGGUAUUCCGGGGGGCAUGCCUGUCCGAGCGUCAUUGCUGCCCUCAAGCACGGCUUGUGUGUUGGGCCUCCGCCCCCCGGCUCCCGGGGGGCGGGCCCGAAAGGCAGCGGCGGCACCGCGUCCGGUCCUCGAGCGCAUGGGGCUUCGUCACCCGCUCCGUAGGCCCGGCCGGCGCCCGCCGGCGACCCCCCUCAAUCUUUCCAGGUUGACCUCGGAUCAGGUAGGGAUACCCGCUGAACUUAAGCAUAUCAAUAAGCGGAGGA
Molecule: unclassified non-coding RNA, 349 nt
Filed under: soil metagenome
Description: partial contains 5.8S ribosomal RNA, internal transcribed spacer 2, and large subunit ribosomal RNA
Rfam family: 5.8S ribosomal RNA (bases 1-120)
Source: RNAcentral